CAGCAAUAAUCCCUACCAAUAAAUUAUCCAUUAACCCUGGAGUUUGGAGGGAUGGAUGACUGAUUCAUCAUUUAUUUUAAUCCCCUGCAAAAGCAGUACUAUCAGCUCUGCUUCCUACACUUCACUGAGACCCAGACUUAGUGCCCUGGUCAUCAUCAGGGUCUCUGUCUGACUUUGGAAGGAUGGUGACAGAACUGAGUGAGAUGUUUUCUGAUAAUUUAGUCAAAAAGAUGAUUUUUCAAACCUUUCAUAUAGCUUUUGAAUGAUUCUCAAAUUAAUAAAUCAGAAUCCAGUGUCUCUACUACUCAAAGAUACUAAGGGAUUAUAAAGGAAAAAGUUUACUGUUGGAGUCCUUUUAUAAAAAUGUGAACCAUAUGUCUGUUAUCUACAUUAAGGGGUUACCAUGGCUUUGAGAAAGGAAAAGGAAAAUAAAGAUUAUGUCCAAGGUUGGCUGAAGGAGAUUAAGAAGAGUAGACUAAAAAUCCUCUCGUUGGUUUAGGAUCAUUGGGACAACCCAGGAGUUUAUCUGUAUGAUUAUAGUCUGUCCUUGUGGGAAGACACUGUAACUUGAUCACCUUUGUUCACAGAGGGCAAUGCCAAAAUGUUCCUGCCAGGUCUUGCUCUUUGCAUCAGGAGAAACACGGUAGCUUCGCGGCUUCUUCACCUCUGUCCUCUGUAGCCCCAACCCCACUUCUGAGCAGUUACUGUUUCACAGACACACUGCUCCAGAUGUCAGAAAUACAUGCCAGUAAGUCAAGUAUUUGGACUGCACCAUUGUAGGGAGCAUGGUUGUAGAAGUUUAUUGUAUAUAUUUGCAGACAACGUAGCCCUGAAAGGACAAAAUGCAAAACAGGAAAGGUCUGGCUUGGGGAAGAAGAGGAAGUGCCAACUCAGUACAGGUAGGCUUGGGCAGAGAGGGACAUGGGAGCCAGAGUGAAGUAGAAGAAGCUUUGAUGGAGAACUGAAGCACAGCUGGUCUAUUCAAACAUUUAUGUAGGA
This 999-nucleotide long non-coding RNA is filed under the name Bos taurus (domestic cattle). RNAcentral's name for it is "long non-coding RNA NONBTAT000604". Lineage: Eukaryota; Metazoa; Chordata; Mammalia; Artiodactyla; Bovidae. The record is from RNAcentral.